Molecule: transfer RNA, 69 nt
Filed under: Marmota monax (woodchuck)
Lineage: Eukaryota; Metazoa; Chordata; Mammalia; Rodentia; Sciuridae
Description: tRNA.Ala
Source: RNAcentral
GGCAUUGUGGCUCAGAGGUAGUGCGCUCACCUAGCAAGUGCGAGGCCCUGGGUUCAAUCCUCAGCACCA